Molecule: long non-coding RNA, 525 nt
Organism: Trachemys scripta elegans
Lineage: Eukaryota; Metazoa; Chordata; Testudines; Emydidae
Exons: 3
Source: RefSeq, a predicted model, not a curated record
AUCACAGACGAUUGGUCAUAUUUACCUGCUAAUAAUCAAAGAUCAAUUAAUUGCCCAAUGAGCCCAGUAACAUGGAUCAGAAAUAACACAGAUUUCCCUUAAGCACUCAGGCAUGUCCUCUCCAUCUGUCUGAAGUUACCAUACAGAACGGAUGAGGGCACCCCAGGGGGACUUCCCAGCCCUAUGUAAUUAGUCCAGUGUCUCCCAGUUCCCAGUCUCCAUUGGCAGUGGGGUCUGUUCCAUUCACUUACUUCUCACGUUCUUCUCAUUGCAGAGGCUGAUCCAGAAAAAAACACGGUUUAUGCCCAAGUCGGCAAUUUGCCACUGCCUCACAGUAGAACGGGGACUCCGAAAGCGAGCCCGGAGACCAAGAAGGAUGAGACAAAAACUAUCUAUUCCAAGGUCCAUUACCCAAACGAGUCGCCUCCGCAAACGGAUGAUGAGAAGUUGUCCAAGGACGGCCUGGAGUCCAUGGAGAAGAGCGAGAGAACCAUUUAUGCCACAGUCAACCAGCCAACCCAGGCA